Molecule: ribosomal RNA, 528 nt
Filed under: uncultured bacterium
Lineage: Bacteria
Description: bacterial SSU rRNA
Rfam family: Bacterial small subunit ribosomal RNA
Source: RNAcentral
CUUGACAUCCAGCGAACUUGGCAGAGAUGCCUUGGUGCCUUCGGGAACGCUGAGACAGGUGCUGCAUGGCUGUCGUCAGCUCGUGUUGUGAAAUGUUGGGUUAAGUCCGCAACGAGCGCAACCCUUAUCCUUUGUUGCCAGCGAUUCGGUCGGGAACUCAAAGGAGACUGCCGGUGAUAAACCGGAGGAAGGUGGGGAUGACGUCAAGUCAUCAUGGCCCUUACGGGUAGGGCUACACACGUGCUACAAUGGCGCAUACAAAGAGAAGCGACCUCGCGAGAGCAAGCGGACCUCAUAAAGUGCGUCGUAGUCCGGAUCGGAGUCUGCAACUCGACUCCGUGAAGUCGGAAUCGCUAGUAAUCGUGGAUCAGAAUGCCACGGUGAAUACGUUCCCGGGCCUUGUACACACCGCCCGUCACACCAUGGGAGUGGGUUGCAAAAGAAGUAGGUAGCUUAACCUUCGGGAGGGCGCUUACCACUUUGUGAUUCAUGACUGGGGUGAAGUCGUAACAAGGUAAGCGUAGCGAG